Molecule: ribosomal RNA, 468 nt
Filed under: uncultured bacterium
Lineage: Bacteria
Description: partial 16S ribosomal RNA
Rfam family: Bacterial small subunit ribosomal RNA
Source: RNAcentral
GACGAACGCUGGCGGCGUGCUUAACACAUGCAAGUCGAACGGAAAGACCCUGCUUUUGUGGGGUGCUCGAGUGGCGAACGGGUGAGUAACACGUGAGUAACCUGCCCUUGACUUUGGGAUAACUUCAGGAAACUGGGGCUCAUACCGGAUAGGAGCUCCUGCUGCAUGGUGGGGGUUGGAAAGUUUCGGCGGUUGGGGAUGGACUCGCGGCUUAUCAGCUUGUUGGUGGGGUAGUGGCUUACCAAGGCUUUGACGGGUAGCCGGCCUGAGAGGGUGACCGGCCACAAUGGGACUAAGAUACGGCGCAGACUCCUACGGGAGGCAGCAGUGGGGAAUAUUGCACAAUGGGCGGAAGCCUGAUGCAGCAACGCCGCGUGCGGGAUGACGGCCUUCGGGUUGUAAACCGCUUUCGCCUGUGACGAAGCGUGAGUGACGGUAAUGGGUAAAGAAGCACCGGCUAACUACGUG